This 5844-nucleotide small RNA is filed under the name Monomorium pharaonis (pharaoh ant). RNAcentral describes it as "uncharacterized LOC105837494". The record is from RNAcentral. Lineage: Eukaryota; Metazoa; Arthropoda; Insecta; Hymenoptera; Formicidae.
AUGGUGGCUGGUAGCACGUUGGCGAAGGCCAUGGAAGACGUAAGCGAUCAGGCACACGGGGCGGGGAAAGGAGGAAGGGAGUGCAUGCAGAGGGGCAGAGGAGAAUUGGAAAACAAGGUGGAAGGGUGCCCGGAGCCAGCGCCGCGAUGGACGCGUGACGCAGCGGUCUGACCGUAAGCUCGUUACGCCUGUCGGAAGUAUAAAUCAACCGCAAAGUUAUUCCGCCGUGCUGUCGGGAACUCCCCGUAGGGUGCCUCGUUGGAAACUGCUACCACCUUCUUGUCCGCGAUAUCGUUCGCGCAGAAUUAAUUUUUUUUUCUUAUUCAUAGCACAGGUAUAUCCCGCUGAUAAUCCUAGCGGAUCGACGAGAAAGGCAAGCACACACACGAGCGAAUGUAUUGCGAACACGCGAAAAGGCGAAAACUUAGAAAAGUCGAGUUCCGAGUAAACCCGGAAUCGUAGGAUAAUCCGAGAUGAUCGCCUAAUAGCUUUAGGAAAGAAUCGACUGCUGGGGAUGACUGCUUUAAAUUACCAUAAGCUCCGACUCUUCCCGGGUUAACGAGCGGAAGAGACGAGACCCCAAAAGUGUUGAAACUAGCCGUCGGAAUAAGGGGAACUACACGAAAAUCGAUGAUGAUACUGAUAUUAUUACGAAAGAAAAGAGACUAAUUAUAAUUGUUAAUAAUGUGGGGAAAGAAUUGGGGAAAAAAUUUUUAUCUACACGAGCGAGUGUAAUUUGUCGAAUUUGCUCUCGGCUAAGUAUUCACGUUAAAAGAACUAAUUAUGUGGCGCAAUACGUUUAUUGUGCUUUUUAUCGGUAACAUAUAGAAAUUGCUCGUUUUCUCUCAGCUGCGAAUUCAACACCCGAGAGAAAGCGCACGGGAUCUAAUGCACCCUAUAUCAGUUUUAAUAAACGAGCACGCGUUGACAACGAUCGUGAGAUUGGCCUUAUUAAUUAAAUACGUUAAUUAAUUUAUGGGUAAGGGGAGAGCCCGAAUAAUCUUUCUCAGUUGCGUUUCUAGUCGCAAUCCCGGCGAACAAAUAUAAUGCAGAUCGAUACACAUCGUAACGCACCGUAGGCACGGCAACAAAACAACAUUUCUCAGUCUCGGCGUCAGUCCAGAGGCUCUCUUACGAUUAUAUCAGCUAUCCUUCCGUGUGCUAAUAAUUAUCUCCCGAUUUCUUCUCUAAUUUAACGGCGCAUACGUUACACGCGUGGCGUUCCGGUUAUGCACCGCUAAAAUCUAAGAGCCGCGCCUCCUUUAAUUGGCCCCAAACAAGAGUGAUUUACAACUGUAGGAAAAGAAAAGAAAGUAUCUCGUUUCUUUCACGCUUUUCCCAUUGAGAUAACAAAUAACCAUUAUUUAAUAUAAUAUUAGCGCACACGUGUGCUUAAUUACGUCUCGCCGGGCUUCUUUCCCAAGCGCGGCGGUAGCCAAGCGUCGCGGAAACGUGCCAGACGGAUAUUUCGUGAAACUCGCCGCCGCCGCGUCGCGCCGCACACGCAGAUGAGAUACCCAUCAAACCGUGGAAUUCACUGCCUCUGUCCUAUGAAAGAGACAUCCCUCUCUUUUCGAGUCCACCGAAAGUCAUAAAACGUCCAGCACCCACGUAGAGACUGGUAUCACGUACCACGGCCGGGCCUUUUGUGUGCUCGCGUGUGUAUUAUCACGUGUGCAUACAGUUGCCACCACAAAUAGUCCCGAGACCCGUGUCUCUCGCGUGGCGGCUUCCGCUCCAAUCUCCCUUUAAAUCAAUGGAAAUAUCGAGGAGCCGCUCAGCCGAAAAUAUAGCCUGCCGCGAAAUGUCCUGCGAUUCAUUCACGAGACCUCCAAUUUUUGCGAAAUUGGAGCAAGGCCGUACUGGUCCUCCUGUCUACUAAAUCUUACUGUCAGACGUAAUAUUGCCUUAGGGCAACUUACUUCAUUAGGUUUGCCCUAUAUGCACUGCUAUAUCAAACUGCCGGCAACAUAGGAAAAAAAUAGAUUUGGAAAAUAUAUAUCUGUACCAUUUCUCUCUCCGUACAAAUUUUUGGGCUACGGUUCUCAUAAAAAAAAAAAAACCGCACAGUCUUAUUCGCGGCUGAGACUGUACCGUAUACGCGGGGAUGUUCCGUGUGUGUCGUACGUGCCUGUCGUCCGUUCGUCCGUCAUGAGUGCGUGCGCGAACGUCCGGGCUCGUCGGAGAGGAUGCUCGCUAGCUCGUUCGCUUUGCCCGAUCAUGGGACAAAAGUCGAGCCUACGUCUCGUGGGAACGUACAAGUCACGCUCGCUCAAAAACCGUGCUACACGUAUUAAACCGAGCGUCGAGUUUCUUGCGUCGCGACGACGCGACGACUCGGUCGAGGCAGAUCGUUCCAAAGUGCGCGGAAACGCCGGAAAUGCCCUUCGGGUAUUAUCGGUAAAGGAAAAACCCUAACGAUGAUAGUAAUUAUGUCUUUGUACAUGUACUGAGAAAUCCACUGCUAUAUAUCGAGUUUUAACUAUUUCUCCGGUAAUAAUGAUAAACAGAACGAUUAGUUUCAGUCUUCAUAAAAAGAAUUACUAGGAAACAGUGAAAGCCGUAAGGAAAACAUCGCAUACAUCACGCAUUCUAAUACCGUGUUAACGUGCCUAUUAAAAUCACGUAAAAUCAGUGGAAUUUGCGGAAACACAUAUCGCUCUCAUUAUCGUAAAUAUUCACAGCGUCGAUAAUUUCGCCGGCGCUGACGAUGAUCAGAAGGAUAAGGAUUACGAGUAGUAACGCGGUAACGGUGUGGCAUAAUUAAUGGCGUUCGCUCUUUCCACGCGUGCAGUCGAUGAUCGUCAAGCGCGAUCUCGAUUUCAUACGUAUACGUACUGACGCGCGUGCACCCUCCCGAUUAUCUUCGCAAUUCGUGAAAUAAAAGUAUCUCGCGCUUUUGCGCGAAAAAGAAUCCGCUGGCUGGUAUAACGGAGACACACCGCGGCUAUAAACCGCAUCGGUUUACAACCGUAGCGUCGCGUCGCGCGUCGGUCAGGUGCGUCGGUCUCACUCUCCCCCGGCUGGAGAUGUGCAUCCUGACACGCGGCUGCACCUGUCCGCACCGUGGCCGUGGCGCGCAGGCUGCCCCGUUUUAUAGAAGGCUACUUUCUAUAUCGCCGAUCUAUCAAAUUGGCCUCAGCCAGAUAAGGAAUUAGGGGAAGCGGUCGCGUCGUGCGCCUUUAAAAGCGCCCGUGACGGAACAUCCCCGCGCGGCUGUUAUUUGGCCGAGCGUCACCCUCUCUCGGUCUCGCUCACGAAAUUUUACGGCUCUCCAGUCCUUCGACAUCACCUGCUGCCGCUGCUCACCGCUCGCCUCGAAGCAACGAACCGAUGCCCAAGUUAUCAUCGCUUCCUCGAAGUCACGCCGAUUACUUCUCAACGAUUUAUCUUAUCUAUCUCUCGCGAUGCGCAUUAUCGAGAUUUCAGAGCCCCGAAGCGGAAGCGAACCAAAUUCUAAUUAAUCCCUAAUCCCGUAAUUCCUAAUAUCCGCUUUUUGUCGCGAGAUAAAGAAAGAGAUUUUAUCUCACGCGCUUGUAUUUUUCCAGACCCCGUUCGCUUGCCCGUCAAUUCCGUCGUUUCGCGCUCGAGGAACCGUUCAAACGUUCGAGUCGAGACAUUCACAGGGUGUUUACAGGAGAGGGAAAAAAACGGCUCAGCGGUAUCUUGAAAAAUAAAAAAACAGAAACGCACAUUGUGGGAUAACAACUUGAUUACGCGGUGUGUUUUAUCGAAAAAUCAUAAGGCAAUUAAUAACGUUCAUUAGAGACGACCGCGCGCGCGAUAAUAAUUCCGUUUGAUAGGUAAUUAGACGAGGGAGCGAGUAAUUGCGUUAAUUGAGACCGAGACCGAGUGCACGUUGCGAAAAGCUUGGCUAGAUAUAUGGAACCGUUCCACACGCACGCCGCAGUCCGUAAUCGUUCUAAUCGCGGUUCUUCUUGCUAGAAAUACCUCGCCUCGCCUUUAGGCCUCGUUCCAGAGCCCUUUCGCCCGCACGGCGCUUUUCUCUCUUCCUGCGAAAGUCACGCGAAAAAAAGUUACCUGCCAACGAUCCAUAGAGAUCGCUAACUUUUGCGCCUAGCAGUCGUGCACUCGCUAACGACCUAAAGCGUCCCAUAACCGUGCCCUGAAUUACGUUCAACAUAAAAUACUAAAACGAUAUUUAGACCGAAAUGCAAAAAAAAAAUUAUCUUCAUGAAAUAUCGUAGCUUUGAAAAUUAAUGAUCUCAAUAUAUGAACGACUAAUGUUUGCGACCGGUUCCUUUAACAUCCGACACUUUUAGAUAUUUAACUUAAAUUUUUAUUAUACUGCAAUGUAUCGUAUUUUAUUAGUUGUCGCAAUCCCGUAGAUCUUGUGCAAAGAAGGCAGAUCUUGGACAUCGUAAAGCAAUACCUUCUUAUUUCUCGUAAACUAAACAUUAUUACCGUAUUUUAAUACUGAUAAAAAACAUGAUCUGCUUAAAUAGUUAAAGAAAUAAAACCUUAUAGUUUAUACAUGCACGAGUCUUUUUUGUAUAAAAUCUACUAAAAACGAAUCUAAUCUAACCUUUGUAUAUAAUCACAAUUGAAAUUAUUUCACCGAAGCUUUGUAAUUAUUACCAAAGUCUUCUUUUUUUUUUAGAAUAAGAAACGCUCGUCAAGAUUACUCCCGUCGAUAGUUUCCGUUUCUCAGCUGUUCUUUUCAAAGGGCACAGGUCACAACCGCAUUUCUGGCGACACUAAAGUUCAUAUAUGUAUUUAUACAUAAUGGGAGUAUCGUCCCGCGAUGCGUAGACACUUAUAAUAGCGACAUCCUGGACAUCUGCCGACCCCGAGACCCCUGGUCUCUUCAUCUUGGCCUUCCUGUAUUUUCUCUUUUUUUUUUUCUUCCGGCGAAUGUCGCGCAAUAAAGCCGCCGUCGUCGGCAUAAUACGGCAGUAAGCCCUACCGAUAUUUGCCAUUUUAUGUAACGUGUACUUACGCGACGUGCCUCAUAUUAAACAAGCGCGAGAGAUACGAGUACGUAUCUGCGGGAAGAGGCGAAGACGCAAAACUUGUUUCUCUGUUCCGAGGUCGUUCGUUCACUUUUCUUCUUAUUUCAUUCCGGACAUUCGCGUGUAAUAAAGCAAAACAUUGUUUUAUAAUCGACGGAAUUGCCCUUACGCGACUUAAUGUCGAAAGAAACGGAAAGGGAUCCGUAUUCAAUUAAAGACACCGCAAGUAAAUUCCAUGCGCCGGACUAAUGCGCGCCGCGUAAUCAACCGGCCGAAAUGAAACUCGAAAAAAGCUCGCGCAUUAGCAUAACUAGAUAUCGUUAUGACUUAAUCCGUCCGUUAAAUGAAUGUAACGCGUCCGUAGCGAGAUAUCAUCACGAGGCUGGCAAAUUUGAGUAAUGACGGUGAUUCGAAAUAUGUUAAUGUCAAUUGAAUGGGAUUAAUGAAAACAGCAAUAAUUUAUAUCCCCCGUUGUCAGUACAUAUCAAACGGACCUUAAAACAAGUUGAUCGACAACUACCGCCGAGAGUUACCGAUAACGGGAGUAUGUCAGCGUGAACGUCACGUCACCUCUAUAACGUCUGCUAAUUUCUCACGCGCGCGAUUAAUUAACAUACGCAAAUAAUUCCUUAGUGCCGAAACACUUAUGACGCGCUCUAUAAAUUUUCCCCGUUCGGGCGCUUAUUAACGACCGUAGUUAAACGUAAUUACGGUCGGAACGUUUACGCACAAGUAUCAAUUACCUACGGAAUUAUUAUAUCCGACUAUUUACGUAGAUACGCUCGGCGCGCGCGCAUAAUCCGCGCGCCUGUAAUUUGUGCAAUGCAAAUUUCUAUCCCGGCAAACGCGCAGCGGUUAUUAAUACUUUCGA